RNAcentral lists this ribosomal RNA (497 nucleotides) under uncultured bacterium. RNAcentral's name for it is "partial 16S ribosomal RNA". It matches the Rfam family "Bacterial small subunit ribosomal RNA", at positions 28 to 507 of the family's 1533-position model. The record is from RNAcentral.
GAUGAACGCUGGCGGCGUGCCUAAUACAUGCAAGUCGAGCGAACAGAUGAGGAGCUUGCUCCUCUGACGUUAGCGGCGGACGGGUGAGUAACACGUGGAUAACCUACCUAUAAGACUGGGAUAACUUCGGGAAACCGGAGCUAAUACCGGAUAAUAUAUUGAACCGCAUGGUUCAAUAGUGAAAGACGGUUUUGCUGUCACUUAUAGAUGGAUCCGCGCCGCAUUAGCUAGUUGGUAAGGUAACGGCUUACCAAGGCAACGAUGCGUAGCCGACCUGAGAGGGUGGUCGGCCACACUGGAACUGAGACACGGUCCAGACUCCUACGGGAGGCAGCAGUAGGGAAUCUUCCGCAAUGGGCGAAAGCCUGACGGAGCAACGCCGCGUGAGUGAUGAAGGUCUUCGGAUCGUAAGACUCUGUUAUUAGGGAAGAACAAAUGUGUAAGUAACUAUGCACGUCUUGACGGUACCUAAUCAGAAAGCCACGGCUAACUACGUG